UACGGGGGGGGCAAGCGUUGUUCGGAAUUACUGGGCGUAAAGGGUUCGUAGGUGGCCUACUAAGUCAUACGUGAAAUCCCUCAGCUUAACUGGGGAACUGCGUCUGAGACUGGAAGGCUUGAGUGCAGGAGAGGAACGCGGAAUUCCAGGUGUAGCGGUGAAAUGCGUAGAUAUUGGGAAGAACACCGGUGGCGAAGGCGGCUAUCUGGACCGACAUUGACGCUGAGGCGCGAAAGCGUGGGGAGCAAACAGG
RNAcentral lists this ribosomal RNA (253 nucleotides) under uncultured bacterium. Its description in RNAcentral is "partial 16S ribosomal RNA". It matches the Rfam family "Bacterial small subunit ribosomal RNA", at positions 524 to 776 of the family's 1533-position model. The record is from RNAcentral.